UGGCUCAGGAUGAACGCUGGCGGCGUGCUUAACACAUGCAAGUCGAACGGGGAAACGAUGAAAGAAGUUUCGGAUGGAAUUUAUGUUUCUAGUGGCGGACGGGUGAGUAACGCGUAAACAAUCUGCCUUAGAGAGGGGGAUAACAGAUAGAAAUAUUUGCUAAUACCGCAUAAGACCACAGGUAGGCAUCUACUAGGGGUAAAAGGAGCAAUCCGCUUUAAGAUGAGUUUGCGUACUAUUAGCUAGUUGGUGAGGUAACGGCCCACCAAGGCGACGAUGGUUAGCCGGCCUGAGAGGGUGAACGGCCACAUUGGAACUGAGAUACGGUCCAGACUCCUACGGGAGGCAGCAGUGAGGAAUAUUGGGCAAUGGGCGAAAGCCCUGACCCAGCAACGCCGCGUGAAGGAAGAAGGUUUUAGGAUUGUAAACUUCUGUUGUAAGGGAAAAAGAAAGUGAUGGUACCUUACGAGGAAGCUACGGCAAACUAUGUGCCAGCAGCAGC
This 502-nucleotide ribosomal RNA is filed under the name uncultured bacterium. RNAcentral describes it as "bacterial SSU rRNA". It matches the Rfam family "Bacterial small subunit ribosomal RNA", at positions 20 to 518 of the family's 1533-position model. The record is from RNAcentral.